GCUGUAGCUCAGUGGUAGAGUGCUUGCCUAGCAUGGGUAAGUCACUGGGUUCGAUCAUCAGCACUGCA
RNAcentral lists this transfer RNA (68 nucleotides) under Marmota monax (woodchuck). Its description in RNAcentral is "tRNA.Ala". The record is from RNAcentral. Lineage: Eukaryota; Metazoa; Chordata; Mammalia; Rodentia; Sciuridae.